AACGAACGCUGGCGGCAUGCCUAACACAUGCAAGUCGAACGAGACCUUCGGGUCUAGUGGCGCACGGGUGCGUAACGCGUGGGAAUCUGCCCUUGGGUUCGGAAUAACAGUUGGAAACGACUGCUAAUACCGGAUGAUGACGUAAGUCCAAAGAUUUAUCGCCCAAGGAUGAGCCCGCGUAGGAUUAGCUAGUUGGUGAGGUAAAGGCGCACCAAGGCGACGAUCCUUAGCUGGUCUGAGAGGAUGAUCAGCCACACUGGGACUGAGACGCGGCCCAGACUCCUACGGGAGGCAGCAGUGGGGGAUAUUGGACUAUGGGCGAAAGCAUGAUCCAGCUAUGCCGCGUGAGUGAUGAAGGCCUUAGAGUUGUAAAGCUCUUUUACCCGGGAUGAUAAUGACGGUACCGGGAGAAUAAGCACCGGCUAACUCCGUG
RNAcentral lists this ribosomal RNA (433 nucleotides) under uncultured bacterium. RNAcentral describes it as "partial 16S ribosomal RNA". It matches the Rfam family "Bacterial small subunit ribosomal RNA", at positions 29 to 507 of the family's 1533-position model. The record is from RNAcentral.